GAGACAGAGUGACUAACGGAUUCCCACCACCGCUACUACCAACAUACAGGCGGGUGUAACAGCGUGUUCAGACACACUUCAUCAGGGAUGUAUGCUUUACUGGAAACUCGGCAUUCCAGGAGGACCAUAACUGUGAUUCAUAGAGCAACAAAAACCCUACGAAAACAGUUCAGGUUCACUCUCUGCAACUGAUGAAAUAUGGCAAGAUGAUGAGAGUAGAGCCGGCUCCCAACAACCGUCAGUAGCAUCGCACUUACACGCGCGGCCGUCGUAGAUUGGGUGCGCUCAGCCCCUCUCCUGCUAUCCACCUACUUUAAUCAGAUCAGCAUGUAGCUAAAUAAAGCAGGGUGUCAGGAUGUUGAGCAGCAUAAGACUAUUGACUAUCGUUUCUCAACGUGUGUGCUCAGCUAUGACUAAAUUACUGUCUGCAUUGUUAUCCUUGGUGUGGCACCGUGCUGUGCAGUAAAGUGAAAAAAAAAGAAGAAGAAAAAAACUCAGGCUGAAGCUGCAAAUAGCGCUUCCACAACAGUGGCUGUCGUGUCUCUCUUUGCCGCUGCCACCAGCUGCCAUGUUUACUUAAAAAGCUUCCACUGAAUCCUCCGACCGCGGAAGUCUGCAUCGUCUCAAAAAAAUUAUCCUCGUCGAAUGUUAUCUGCUCCCUGGCAACAAACUCGUGCGGCGCUCUCCUUCUGCAGCCUCGGGAAUCCUUACAGUUACCUAACAGGUGGAGGGAGGCGGCAGGGAUUCCUUUAACCGUGCCGCUGAAACGCAGUCACGCUGGGAGCCAGUAGAAUUGGCACCAAAAAUACAAGACGUGGCACAGGAAACGACAUGGG
Molecule: long non-coding RNA, 836 nt
Organism: Mugil cephalus (flathead mullet)
Lineage: Eukaryota; Metazoa; Chordata; Actinopteri; Mugiliformes; Mugilidae
Exons: 3
Source: RefSeq, a predicted model, not a curated record